This 326-nucleotide ribosomal RNA is filed under the name uncultured eukaryote. Its description in RNAcentral is "partial 18S ribosomal RNA". It matches the Rfam family "Eukaryotic small subunit ribosomal RNA", at positions 1470 to 1796 of the family's 1831-position model. The record is from RNAcentral.
CCCUUAGAUGUUCUGGGCUGCACGCGCGCUACACUGAUGCACUCAACGAGUUUACGACCUUGCCCGAUAGGGUUGGGUAAUCUUUUUAAAAUGCAUCGUGAUGGAGAUAGAUUAUUGCAAUUAUUAAUCUUCAACGAGGAAUUCCUAGUAAGCGCGAGUCAUCAGCUCGUGCUGAUUACGUCCCUGCCCUUUGUACACACCGCCCGUCGCUCCUACCGAUUGAGUGCUCAGGUGAAUAAUUCGGACUGCAGCAAUGUUUGGAUCCCGAACGUUGCAGCGGAAAGUUUAGUGAACCUUAUCACUUAGAGGAAGGAGAAGUCGUAACA